Molecule: ribosomal RNA, 506 nt
Filed under: uncultured bacterium
Lineage: Bacteria
Description: partial 16S ribosomal RNA
Rfam family: Bacterial small subunit ribosomal RNA
Source: RNAcentral
AGUGAACGCUGGCGGUAGGCCUAACACAUGCAAGUCGAACGGCAGCACAGGAGAGCUUGCUCUCUGGGUGGCGAGUGGCGGACGGGUGAGGAAUACAUCGGAAUCUACUUUUUCGUGGGGGAUAACGUAGGGAAACUUACGCUAAUACCGCAUACGACCUACGGGUGAAAGCAGGGGAUCUUCGGACCUUGCGCGAUUGAAUGAGCCGAUGUCGGAUUAGCUAGUUGGCGGGGUAAAGGCCCACCAAGGCGACGAUCCGUAGCUGGUCUGAGAGGAGGAUCGGCCACACUGGAACUGAGACACGGUCCAGACUCCUACGGGAGGCAGCAGUGGGGAAUAUUGGACAAUGGGCGCAAGCCUGAUCCAGCCAUACCGCGUGGGUGAAGAAGGCCUUCGGGUUGUAAAGCCCUUUUGUUGGGAAAGAAAUCCAGCUGGUUAAUACCCGGUUGGGAUGACGGUACCCAAAGAAUAAGCACCGGCUAACUUCGCGCCAGCCGCCGCGGUAA